Molecule: ribosomal RNA, 466 nt
Filed under: uncultured bacterium
Lineage: Bacteria
Description: partial 16S ribosomal RNA
Rfam family: Bacterial small subunit ribosomal RNA
Source: RNAcentral
GAUGAACGCUGGCGGCGUGCUUAACACAUGCAAGUCGAACGGAAAGGCUCCUGCUUGCAGGGGUACUCGAGUGGCGAACGGGUGAGUAACACGUGGGUGACCUGCCCUGCACCUCGGGAUAAGCCUGGGAAACUGGGUCUAAUACCGGAUAGGACGAUGGUUUGGAUGCCAUUGUGGUAAGUUUUUUCGGUGUAGGAUGAGCUCGCGGCCUAGCAGCUUGUUGGUGGGGUAAUGGCCUACCAAGGCGUCGACGAGUAGCCGGCCUGAGAGGGUGUACGGGCACAGUAGGCUUGGGAUAGGAGCCGGACUCAUACUGGAGGCAGGGAUGGGAAAUAUUGCACAAUAGGCGGAAGCAUGAUGCAGCGACGCCGGAUGGGAGAUGACGGCCGUCGGGUUAUAAACACCUUUCGCUAGGAACGAAGCGAAAGUGACGGUACCUGGAGAGGAAGCACCGGCUAACUACGUG